GGCAAAUAGAUUUAUUCAGAAGAGACUAUGCACGUGUUAAAAUCAAAGACCUCAUUAAAUUAUAUUUCAUAAAUCUUCUACUUAGACUUCCUUCUCCUCUGAAUAAAAUUCAAAGCUCAAACGGACUCUUGUUACUUGAAAACAAUACUGUAACUACUGUUAGUUGGAUCCUAGCGAAUAUGCUACCCUAAAAGCUUUCAAAAAAAGAGCUUUGGAUUUUAACAGAAGAGCGCCCCCUGCUGCUAAACAGUUUAUGGACCACGCACCUGAAAAGUAAAAUGCUUGGGGAGUCUGCCCAUCGCAAAGCUGGAAUGGUGAUAUUUUUCACUAACAUCUGUUUACCUGCUCAUCUUGAGGAGGAAAGAACUACAUUCAAGGUUAGCUACUGGUACCGCUCUGAGUCACUGGGAGAUUGUUCUGCCAUCUCCAUCUCUCUACCCAAACAAGAGUUGACGUUGGAUUUUCUCCAAACAACUGAGCAGCUGCCCCUUUCUCUUUGUGGAACAAGGAGCUCUGAAGACUUCCCAUAUCAUAUCCAGGCUCUCCUGGAUAUUUAUCCGUGUUAAGGAAGUGUAUAGAGGGGUCCUGAGGAGAAAAAAGAGAUCUGUUUCCCAUUUUCCAAGUAAUUGAUUCACAUGUGUAUUCUGCCAAUGAGCUCUAUUAAAUCUUUUUUUUUUUAAAGAUUGGCACCUGAGCUCACAUCUGUUGCCAAUCUUCUUUUUUUUCCUGUCCCCAAAGCCCCCCAGUACAUAGUUGUAUAUUCUAG
This 766-nucleotide long non-coding RNA is filed under the name Equus asinus (donkey). RNAcentral describes it as "lncRNA (ENSEASG00005033361.1)". Lineage: Eukaryota; Metazoa; Chordata; Mammalia; Perissodactyla; Equidae. The record is from RNAcentral.